RNAcentral lists this ribosomal RNA (497 nucleotides) under uncultured bacterium. RNAcentral describes it as "partial 16S ribosomal RNA". It matches the Rfam family "Bacterial small subunit ribosomal RNA", at positions 28 to 507 of the family's 1533-position model. The record is from RNAcentral.
GAUGAACGCUGGCGGCGUGCCUAAUACAUGCAAGUCGAGCGAACAGAUGAGGAGCUUGCUCCUCUGACGUUAGCGGCGGACGUGUGAGUAACACUUUGAUAACCUACCUAUAAGACUGUGAUAACUUCGGUAAACCGGAGCUAAUACCGGAUAAUAUAUUGAACCGCAUGGUUCAAUAGUGAAAGCCGGUUUUGCUGUCACUUAUAGAUUGAUCCGCGCCGCAUUAGCUAGUUGGUAAGGUAACGGCUUAACAAGGCAACGAUUCGUAUCCGACCUUAGAGGGUGAUCGGACACACUGGAACUGAGACACGGUCCAGAAACCUACGGGAGGAAGCAGAAGGGAAUAUUCCGCAAUGGGAGAAAGAAUGAAGGAGCAAAGCCGCGUGAGUGAUGAAGGUAUUCGGAUCGUAAAACUCUGUUAUUAGGGAAGAACAAAUGUGUAAGUAACUAUGCACGUCUUGACGGUACCUAAUCAGAAAGCCACGGCUAACUACGUG